Molecule: ribosomal RNA, 253 nt
Filed under: uncultured bacterium
Lineage: Bacteria
Description: partial 16S ribosomal RNA
Rfam family: Bacterial small subunit ribosomal RNA
Source: RNAcentral
UACGGAGGGUGCAAGCGUUAUCCGGAUUUACUGGGUUUAAAGGGUGCGUAGGUGGGCAGGUAAGUCAGUGGUGAAAUCUCCGGGCUUAACCCGGAAACUGCCAUUGAUACUAUCUGUCUUGAAUAUCCUGGAGGUGAGCGGAAUAUGUCAUGUAGCGGUGAAAUGCUUAGAUAUCAGGAAGAACACCGAUGGCGAAGGCAGCUCUCUGGGACGGUACUGACGCUGAGACGCGAAAGCGUGGGGAGCGAACAGG